GACGAACGCUGGCGGCGUGCUUAACACAUGCAAGUCGAACGGAAAGGCCCUGCUUUUGUGGGGUGCUCGAGUGGCGAACGGGUGAGUAACACGUGAGUAACCUGCCCUUGACUUUGGGAUAACUUCAGGAAACUGGGGCUAAUACCGGAUAGGAGCUCCUGCUGCAUGGUGGGGGUUGGAAAGUUUCGGCGGUUGGGGAUGGACUCGCGGCUUAUCAGCUUGUUGGUGGGGUAGUGGCUUACCAAGGCUUUGACGGGUAGCCGGCCUGAGAGGGUGACCGGCCACAUUGGGACUGAGAUACGGCACAGACGCCUACGGGAGGCAGCAGUGGGGAAUAUUGCACAAUGGGCGGAAGCCUGAUGCAGCAACGCCGCGUGCGGGAUGACGGCCUUCGGGUUGUAAACCGAUUUCGCCUGUGACGAAGCGUGAGUGACGGUAAUGGGUAAAGAAGCACCGGCUAACUACGUG
RNAcentral lists this ribosomal RNA (468 nucleotides) under uncultured bacterium. RNAcentral's name for it is "partial 16S ribosomal RNA". It matches the Rfam family "Bacterial small subunit ribosomal RNA", at positions 28 to 507 of the family's 1533-position model. The record is from RNAcentral.